AGAACGAACGCUGGCGGCAGGCUUAACACAUGCAAGUCGAACGGUUGUAGCAAUACAGCAGUGGCAGACGGGUGAGUAACACGUGGGAACCUUCCUAGGGGUACGGAACAACUCAGGGAAACUUGAGCUAAUACCGUAUACGUCCGUGAGGAGAAAGAUUUAUCGCCCCUAGACGGGCCCGCGUAGGAUUAGGUAGUUGGUGAGGUAACGGCUCACCAAGCCUACGAUCCUUAGCUGACCUGAGAGGAUGAUCAGCCACACUGGGACUGAGACACGGCCCAGACUCCUACGGGAGGCAGCAGGUGGGGAAUCGUUGGACAAGUGGGCGCAAGCCUGAUCCAGCCAUGCCGCGUGAGUGAAGAAGACCUUCGGGUUGUAAAGCUUACUUUACCAGGGACGAUAAUGACGGUACCUAGGAGUAAUAACGCCCCCGGACGUAAAACCGUUCGUCGACC
This 455-nucleotide ribosomal RNA is filed under the name uncultured soil bacterium. Its description in RNAcentral is "bacterial SSU rRNA". It matches the Rfam family "Bacterial small subunit ribosomal RNA", at positions 26 to 502 of the family's 1533-position model. The record is from RNAcentral.